CAGUCGCCGCGGGAAUACGUAGGUGGCAAGCGUUGUCCGGAAUUAUUGGGCGUAAAGGGCUCGCAGGCGGUUUCUUAAGUCUGAUGUGGAAGCCCCCGGCUCAACCGGGGAGGGUCAUUGGAAACUGGGAAACUUGAGUGCAGAAGAGGAGAGUGGAAUUCCACGUGUAGCGGUGAAAUGCGUAGAGAUGUGGAGGAACACCAGUGGCGAAGGCGACUCUCUGGUCUGUAACUGACGCUGAGGAGCGAAAGCGUGGGGAGCGAACAGGAUUAGAUACCCGCGUAGUCCCUGUCUCUUAUAC
RNAcentral lists this ribosomal RNA (301 nucleotides) under uncultured bacterium. RNAcentral describes it as "partial 16S ribosomal RNA". It matches the Rfam family "Bacterial small subunit ribosomal RNA", at positions 509 to 807 of the family's 1533-position model. The record is from RNAcentral.